This is a long non-coding RNA of Gasterosteus aculeatus aculeatus (three-spined stickleback), 4294 nucleotides long. Lineage: Eukaryota; Metazoa; Chordata; Actinopteri; Perciformes; Gasterosteidae. The record is from Ensembl.
CGAAUGGCGCCCGGGGUCUCCUGCGGGAACAGACGGAGACUCGAAUCUACAAGCGGGUGUCGCUGGGCUCGAGUGUUCAGUUGGAAGAAGGUUGCUGCUGGUCGCGUCUGCCGCUGCAAACCUCGCUCACGUUACGCGACUGAACGCGACUAAAGCCGUUAGCCGGCUCAGGCUACUUGCUAACACAAGGGGAUGACAUGCUAAUCCAACUGUCCUGAAAAACACCGGAACGGUCUGGGUCCCUUUUGGCUGGACAUGUCUCACAGACUGACCAAGGAGGAGCUGGACGAAGAGUUUGACCUGUUCCUGAAGGAGGUCGGUGACGCUGCGGCGGCGGUAGACCACCACACACUGGACUAGAUAUUCCAGUUGAGAAUGUCCCUCUGGGACAGUAAAUGUAGAACCUGGGACACAACGAUGCAGUGAGACACAAUUCUAUGCACAGACAAAAUACAGAGAUGGUCAAACUGCAUCCCCCGUGCUCCCACCCAGAAUCAAUCCAGAGCGAGGGACUCGUAUGAGAAGGACCUCCUCAACAAUUUCAACUGUCACAUUGUUUUCUGGUCACAAGAGGUGAAGAUCUAAUAACUCACUGUGAUUGACUGACAGGUCAACACCCCGGCGUUGUCCGUGCUUUCAUCUUCGAACUUUGACCCUUUCACAGUGUUUAUUGUUAAAAGGAUCCCCAUUCGCUGUGACCAAAGUGGGAGGAGCUAAUCUUCCUGCAGUUCAACAAAAAGAAAAAUCACUUAACGACAAUAAACUAAAAGCAGUAAAACAUUGUAUCAUUAUAAACAUCAUCAGAACUAUUUCACAAUAAGUUAUUAUAGUAUUACAUUCAUACAGUAAAUAUGUCCAUUCCCUACUCACAAUUUUAAGUGCAUUCUCUCUCAGAUAGUACUUGAUAGAGACUUUAUUAUUCAUUUUACGUAUAUUAUUAUUAUAUAUUAGUUAUAUAAGAAAACCGGUUGAGAAGAAAAGACGACGUGUGAAAAGCAGCCUGUUCUCUACUGUGCAUACUGAUCGCCGUCGUUCUUAUGGGACAUUGUAAGACUAACCUGGCAGCUCUGUUUGGGGCAGUUUGUAAUUAUUUUAUUUGACCUUUAGAUUCAGAUGACCAUACAGGUGCACAAUAAUCUAAGCGACAUAGAAUUAGAGGUUUGGCCACCUGUUCCACAAUGUGUGAAGGGACAUAAAGACAUUUCCUCACUAUAGAGAUCCUACAACCCAUCUUCACUAUGGGGUCAAUAUGUUGUUCCCAUGACGGCUGAUUGUACCUAGUAAUUAGACUUUAUCUACCGGUUAUCUAUAGGUUGCCCAGACAAGUGCAAACUCAUCUUUGGUGUAGAUGACAGCUCAUGACUCCAUCCCAAGAUUUGGUUUUCGAGAUGUUCAGUACCAAUUUAUUUUGUUUUAUCCAAUCAAAAACCACAUUUAAAUCAGCUGAUAAAACAUUGUCCAGUUCACUGACAGUUCUUGCAGCAUAAUACAACGUGGAAUCAUCAGCAUACAUUUGUACAGUUGCUUUACACAAUACUGAUGGAAGAUCAUUUGUGAAGAUGGCGUAUUAGAGUGGUCCAAGGCAGAUCCCUUGCGGGACUCCGCAAUCCAAGACCUUGGAGUCAGACCAGCUGCCGAUGUAAUAAACCCGUUGUGCUCUAUUUGUAAGAGUAAGACUCUUCACAAAUAACCAUCUGACUGCUGUCCGGGUUCAGUUUCUCAUUGAUCAUUACAUUACAGGUCAUUUUAGCAGACGCUUUUAUCCAAAGCGACUGACAUUACACUUUAAACCCAUGGCUUUUUCACAUUUUUGCCCGGGGAGCAAUUAGGGGUUAGGUGUCUUGCUCAGGGACACUUCGACAUGGAACAUGGGGCAGCCUGGACUCAAACCACCAACCUUGUGCUUCCCAGCACACCUCUAACCCCUGCGCCACGACGAUCACACACCUGACUGUCCUCAGUCUCCUUCCAGCUUUCAUCCACAACAAGGUUAUUCCUUCUUGUUUGACCCUCCAAGUAGUCCGCUUUCUCCGUCAUCUCGGUCAUAUUCCCCUGCAGUGGAUUGUUCUCAAUCAAUUUUCUCAUUUUCUUUGUUCAAUCAUCCAUGUCUUUCUGAGAGAAUUGCAGGCUGCUUCUCAGCUCCUGUGUCUCCCUGGUCAAUUUGUCAACCUGAGUGCUCACAUUGUUCACAAAUAAUUCCACAAGAGUCUUGAAGUUGCAUGAACGGAUCCCUUUGUUGACUCCAACUCCUCUCUAUUAUCUCAUCUGCUCUGGUGCCUCUUGGACGGCACGGUCCACCAAAGAUCUCAAAGUAUGAAGAUCAUCCACUGCUUUCCACUAGUUUACUUAUAAAAUAUAGUGUCAGAGUGAAUAAUUAAACAAUGCAAGUUUUUAAAACACUUUAAAUGUAUCAGGAGCUGCUGAGUCCAGUGUGUUCAUGAUCUAACUCCCCCGUCCUCUUUCAUACAGCCUGUGAUGUGCGCUGGAGAUACCGUUCCACUGCUUCCUGCGGUGAUAACAGGAGGCAUUGGCACCCACAGUCCACAACAACGCACAUCGCCUAAUCGCUCUGAAUUCAUCAAGCAGAAGCACAAAGAGGCUGAACCUAAACCUGAUUUCCCGUCAGUCCGUUUCAGAUGACUCGGACAAGCAGCCCGGCCCUAAAAGCAAACCCUGGUGGCAGGAUGAGCAGCACAGCGGGGGAGCAUCAGGGGGAAAAGAGGGUGAGGUUUGCUGUGAUGACUGUACCUGUACACCUGUUACUAUGAUAAAUGGACCCUAUUUUCUGCUAAAGUGAAUACAUGUUUGAAAGGUUCUUCCAUCUAAACAGUGUGAUGCCGCGCUGGAAUGAACAUCUGGUGGCUUGUUUGUUGUGUCCAGACCGGACCGUCUGCCUAAUAUCAGCCCAGGUUGUUUUAAGCCGACCCAAUCAAACAUCACUCACAGCCCCGAUGAAGCACAUGUGCCGUCGCUUCUGGAAUGUUUGAUGUUAUGAAGGAAUAAAACUGGAAAGAUUCCUCACUUUUCUGUGGAUGUCCAUGGGUGACCCAGAAAGCUGAAUCCUCCUGCUCGAGGAGCUCUGCCGGUGGUGCCUGCAUGUACCAGAAUGUACCAGAAUGCAUUGCGCACACAUUUUUGGCCAUCAUGCUCUGUACUGCAUCCUGGAUUCGCCUGGAAUCACUGCGGCUACGGAGUAUCCGCGUCCGCCAAAGCAUCCCGGUCCCUAACAUCUUAUUCACUCGUGUUCUGUGCACUAGGGCUGUCAACCCAGAGGGUCCAGGAUGGUUCUGAGCAUCCCCCUUCAUCACAAGGGAGCCCUCGAUCAAUGCAAUCUCAGUCACUACAGCACGUACCGUUCACUUUACCUUCUACACCGAUUGGACAUGCAUAUUAAGGGGCCCAUUUCUCUUUUUCAAAUCCAAAUGACAACGCUGCUGUUGCACCAGCUCUUUGUAUGUUCAACUGUGAAGAAGAGUUGGAUGUAACUGAGGAUACAAAGUUCUUCUGUAUUUACAGGACGGAGCGGUGCCAAAGAUGGUAACUAUUAUUAGGAUAUGCAGUCACGUAGGAUGGGAAUAACUUAUUACAGAAGCUGUUUGGUGAAUUAAUGGAUUUGCAUUUUUUUCGUAUUGAUAUUUAAUUCAAUACGAUAUUGAUAAUUCAAUAUGAUAUUGAUAUUUGGGUUUUGGAGUAUUGGUCAAACAAAAAGGGCUCCCCGGCUCAGAUUGAGGUUCCCAAUAGAAACCAAAGUGUAUUUUUGGACCAUCCUACUCAUCAAGUUGGAAUUCCUCUUUCUGUCUAACUUUCCACUUGUGAAGCAUCUCUCCUCAACACCCAAUCCAACACUUUCUUUCUCCUGCUUCAGGACUCGGGUCCCUGAACUGACCAGUAAAAUGCACAAUGCAAAUGGUCAUUUGACUAGUCGAUUCUCCAGGGGCCUCAUUUAUAAAAGCUUGCGUAGGAUUUGCACCAGAAGUGUCGUACGGAUGAAACGUAGGACGUGCGUACGCACAGAAAUAUUCAGACUUAUAAAACGUCCUACGCAGUUUUCCCUUAAUAAAUCACAAUCACUUCUAAAUGCAGCGCAGCUUUUGCGGCUUCAUGUCGCGCCCACAGUUGCCCAUAUAUAGUCUGUGGAACGCCCACAAAUUAAUAUUCAUCGAUUGCGAAAUGAUGACAAACACUGAGAGGAAAAUGAAGAAACGUAACUUCACUCAGUGUGAAGUGGAAAUGAUCAUUGGGAGGUGGGAAGGAGGAGUAAGAUGCUAUUUGGAGGACACAGUGUGGAUCACUG